RNAcentral lists this ribosomal RNA (755 nucleotides) under Vibrio sp. RNAcentral's name for it is "bacterial SSU rRNA". It matches the Rfam family "Bacterial small subunit ribosomal RNA", at positions 20 to 754 of the family's 1533-position model. Lineage: Bacteria; Pseudomonadati; Pseudomonadota; Gammaproteobacteria; Vibrionales; Vibrionaceae. The record is from RNAcentral.
UGGCUCAGAUUGAACGCUGGCGGCAGGCCUAACACAUGCAAGUCGAGCGGAAACGAGUUAUCUGAACCUUCGGGGAACGAUAACGGCGUCGAGCGGCGGACGGGUGAGUAAUGCCUGGGAAAUUGCCCUGAUGUGGGGGAUAACCAUUGGAAACGAUGGCUAAUACCGCAUAAUAGCUUCGGCUCAAAGAGGGGGACCUUCGGGCCUCUCGCGUCAGGAUAUGCCCAGGUGGGAUUAGCUAGUUGGUGAGGUAAUGGCUCACCAAGGCGACGAUCCCUAGCUGGUCUGAGAGGAUGAUCAGCCACACUGGAACUGAGACACGGUCCAGACUCCUACGGGAGGCAGCAGUGGGGAAUAUUGCACAAUGGGCGCAAGCCUGAUGCAGCCAUGCCGCGUGUAUGAAGAAGGCCUUCGGGUUGUAAAGUACUUUCAGCAGUGAGGAAGGUGGUAGUGUUAAUAGCACUAUCAUUUGACGUUAGCUGCAGAAGAAGCACCGGCUAACUCCGUGCCAGCAGCCGCGGUAAUACGGAGGGUGCGAGCGUUAAUCGGAAUUACUGGGCGUAAAGCGCAUGCAGGUGGUUUGUUAAGUCAGAUGUGAAAGCCCGGGGCUCAACCUCGGAAUUGCAUUUGAAACUGGCAGACUAGAGUACUGUAGAGGGGGGUAGAAUUUCAGGUGUAGCGGUGAAAUGCGUAGAGAUCUGAAGGAAUACCGGUGGCGAAGGCGGCCCCCUGGACAGAUACUGACACUCAGAUGC